RNAcentral lists this non-coding RNA (25 nucleotides) under Cricetulus griseus (Chinese hamster). Lineage: Eukaryota; Metazoa; Chordata; Mammalia; Rodentia; Cricetidae. The record is from RNAcentral.
CUCUUAUCAUGUGGAUCCAAGGACU